Molecule: small nucleolar RNA, 127 nt
Organism: Homalodisca vitripennis (glassy-winged sharpshooter)
Lineage: Eukaryota; Metazoa; Arthropoda; Insecta; Hemiptera; Cicadellidae
Source: RefSeq, a predicted model, not a curated record
CGUGGCUAUUAUCGAAGCUGCACUAGGCAUAAAUGUCUGCUGCAGUCAAAGUUGGCCUACAGUAAAGAUCACUAUUGGUCACUGGAUGGUCUCUACCAUAUCAGUAUUACCCAUAGUGAAAACAGUA